CCUACGGGUGACAGCAGUGGGGAAUAUUGCACAAUGGGGGGAACCCUGAUGCAGUGACGCCGCGUGAGUGAAGAAGUAUUUCGGUAUGUAAAGCUCUAUCAGCAGGAACGAGACAAGACGGUACCUGCCUAAGAAGCCCCGGCUAACUACGUGCCCGCAGCCGCGGUAAUACGUAGGUGGCAAGCGUUGUCCGGAUUUACUGGGUGGAAAGGGCGUGCAGCCGGGAAGACAAGUCAGAUGUGAAAUCCCGCGGCUUAACCGCGGAACUGCAUUUGAAACUGUUUUUCUUGAGUACCGGAGAGGUCAUCGGAAUGCCUGGUGUAGCGGUGAAAUGCGUAGAUAUAAGGAAGAACACCAGUGGCGAAGGCAGAUGACUGGACGGCAACUGACGGUGAGGCGCGAAAGCGUGGGGAGCAAACAGGAUUAGAUACCCCAGUAGUC
Molecule: ribosomal RNA, 441 nt
Filed under: uncultured bacterium
Lineage: Bacteria
Description: partial 16S ribosomal RNA
Rfam family: Bacterial small subunit ribosomal RNA
Source: RNAcentral